GUCACAAGAGCAAGGGGGGAUGUCAGAUGGCCUGGGCCCUGAGGAACAGAGUGCAUCCCUAGGAAGGGGACGGCCCAUCACCAGGGAGCCUUCUGAGACCAUUUUGUAGAUCUGAACCUGCCCCAGCCCCAGGACUCUGAGUGCAGCCAGAGGGGAGCCGGGCUGGAGAGUGGGGAGCACGGAGACUGUGGCCUGGAUGGUGCCAGAGCAAACAGGGGAGAGGCUGCCCCACGCAGAGGCUGCGGCACAGCCCAGAGGGUCCCGGGGCUGACUGGGUGGGGGCAGCUCCCAGCGAGAGGCCCCUGGGAUUUGGCCUUUGGACACUGGAGCUCAGAGGACCAAGUGAAUGAAUGA
Molecule: long non-coding RNA, 354 nt
Organism: Pan paniscus (pygmy chimpanzee)
Lineage: Eukaryota; Metazoa; Chordata; Mammalia; Primates; Hominidae
Source: Ensembl